RNAcentral lists this ribosomal RNA (453 nucleotides) under uncultured Clostridium sp. RNAcentral describes it as "bacterial SSU rRNA". It matches the Rfam family "Bacterial small subunit ribosomal RNA", at positions 8 to 484 of the family's 1533-position model. The record is from RNAcentral. Lineage: Bacteria; Bacillati; Bacillota; Clostridia; Eubacteriales; Clostridiaceae.
AGAGUUUGAUCCUGGCUCAGGCUGGCGGCGUGCCUAACACAUGCAAGUCGAGCGAUGAAGUUCCUUCGGGAAACGGAUUAGCGGCGGACGGGUGAGUAACACGUGGGUAACCUGCCUUAUAGUGGGGGAUAGCCUUUCGAAAGGAAGAUUAAUACCGCAUAAGAUUGUAGUAUCGCAUGAUAUAGCAAUUAAAGGAGCAAUUCGCUAUAAGAUGGACCCGCGUCGCAUUAGCUAGUUGGUGAGGUAAUGGCUCACCAAGGCGACGAUGCGUAGCCGACCUGAGAGGGUGAUCGGCCACAUUGGGACUGAGACACGGCCCAGACUCCUACGGGAGGCAGCAGUGGGGAAUAUUGCACAAUGGGCGAAAGCCUGAUGCAGCAACGCCGCGUGAGUGAUGACGGCCUUCGGGUUGUAAAACUCUGUCUUCAGGGACGAUAAUGACGGUACCUGAGG